CGGGCUGGUAAAUAGUCGCAUACCUGAGACUGUUUUGCGACUAUUGGUUUUCGUCGUUAAGUAGCGACUACUUUGCGUUCAUGUUAGCGGCAGUCGUUAGUUAGUCGCAAAGGGAUCACAAAAAUGUCGGUUUAUUUUGCGACUGAUAGUUUAGUCACAACAAAGAGUCCCAAAAUGCAAGUUUUCUUGUAGUUAUCAUGUUAACAAAAACAAAAUCAACACAUGAAUUUUUCGUAAACUGACUCAUAAAGUACUUAAAUCUUCCUUCUCUCAUCAAAAUAGGACUCAUAAACACAACAGUAGACCCUAUUGAUAAUAAGUUUUUAGUCAAUUAUCCUAAAACACCAAUCAUGUCGUUGUAGUAUUUUAGGUGUCAAUCCAAAUGAGUGUGAUGCAAACAGAUGAGAUGUGAUCAGAAGUCACUAAGUCAAGCCAAGCAAUAACAGAUUUGGGGUUUCUAGCAGUCCUAAGUGAACAUGCAGAAAACAGAAACAAUAACAGACUUACUAAAAUCACUCGACCACAACAGGCUGAUGCCAGAAGUAGGAUGUGGUCGAGUAUUAGGCAGGAUAUGAAACAGAUAUACUCGACUGCACAGUCUGUUGCCAGACACUGGGUGUGGUCGAGUAUACUGGUCGAGUAACAGACAGGAAAUGAGACAACUGGACUCGACUGCACAGUCUGUUGCUAGACACUGGGUGUGGUCGAGUAAGUUGGUCGAGUAAUUGCAAAAACUAAGAAACAAGCAAUGAGAACGAUUAAGCGAUAACGAUAAAACAGAGAAAUCAAAUAGACGAGAAAUUCCUAAGGAUGGGGUAAUCGAAUAGAGUGGUAUCCUAGCCUAUCCGAAUGGUUAACAAGCGCAAUCAAGCUAUCCCUAGACAACAGGUUCGACAACAGAUCAAUUCACUCCCGUGAUAGAAAUCCUCAAGCAAAGCUAGCCCAGACUAAUUCCCAUUAACGGAAUAUAACUAUGCAGGCAAUAAAAACAGACUGAUAAAGUCAAUAAACGCUCUAAACGGCCAAUCCCUUGGGAUAGAGACGAAUAUCUCAGGAACUAGUGGAUCAAGCAUUCCAUCGAACACCUUCUGGGUGCGGAAAUGCUUGGGAUCGAAUUCCAGUUGAUUAGAAAGAAAUAAGCAGUAAACACAACUAGUCCUGAAGGAAUUCAAUCAAUUCUAAAACUUAACCAUUCUACAGACUACGGAUUCCACAACUACUCUAUCCCAUCCCUAAGAAUUCUAAGUCACUACUCAGACAACAUGCUCAAAGACAUAAACGCAGAUAAAUGAUAAUAUUGCAUAAGUAAAGAAAUAAAGAGUAGAAAAACAAGAUGACAGAUGAAAUCAAAUGAGGAAUCUGAAUAAUUUGGAAAAAUCUCGAAUUACAGGUUGCAGAAGCAAAAGCGGCGCAGCAGAGUAAAACAGAAAAUAAAACUGAAGCAAAAACUCAAUGUCGACUAGAUGUCUCAGGACAGAACCCUAAGACAUCUAUUUAUACAAAACGAAAUAAAAUGAUAGUAGACGGGCCAAUAACCUAAUCGCCCGGCCCAUAGAAUGAUAAUGGGCCAAGAUGGGCUUCGUGAUCCGAUGGAGGUCCAGGCCGCUUCCAAACACUUUGUCUUCUCCUCUUCUCUUCCUUGUGCUCAGCUUGUCUGGUUGAGUGCGAAUUUGAGUAGACUGUGAAGACGUGAUCGAGUGUCCGGUCGAGUGAUGGUGAUGGUGGUGAGUGAUGAUACUCGACCAGGGGGUCGAGUAACUUGGUAGAGUGAAUGGCCGAGUGUGGUCAGGUGGUGUGGCGAAGUGAUACUCGACCAGGGGGUCGAGUGGCGUCAUCGAGUGGCCUGAGCUGAGUAGAUGGGAAGAAUGGCUCCAAAGUCACUCGACCUGGGGGUCAAGUAUGGUGCUGGAUGCACACGACCUGGUGGUCGAGUAUGUCUUCUGGUUCUGGCUCGUUUCUUCCAAUUUGCUCGCAAACAGCUCCAAAUCACCUGAAAACAACUCAGAAAUGCAAUAUGUAUGCAAAGCUAUCCUAAUCAUGCAAAGUAUGCAAGAAUGAUGAGAAAUGAUAUGAAACAGUGAUGAAUGAUACGAAACUGGACUCAAAACGAUGAUGAAUGGACACUGAAAACAUGCAAAUUAUAGACAUAUCACCU
This 2155-nucleotide small RNA is filed under the name Arabidopsis thaliana (thale cress). RNAcentral's name for it is "ATSL085730". The record is from RNAcentral. Lineage: Eukaryota; Viridiplantae; Streptophyta; Magnoliopsida; Brassicales; Brassicaceae.